GGGGUCGAAACAGGAUCGACGAACGUCUAAAGGGGUUUGCUUUGUUUCGGCUGUCUGCCACCGUUAUCGGCGAAACAUGUACAAUUGCAAAUGACAAUCGUGCUCCAGUAGCGAUGGCCGCGUAAGCGGUUUCAGCCACUGAAACUUAACUCCCUGGGUUUAGCGACCUAGGGCGGGGUUCGCAGGCACCUGGCAACAGAAGCCUGCACU
This 210-nucleotide transfer-messenger RNA is filed under the name Roseobacter litoralis Och 149. RNAcentral describes it as "transfer-messenger RNA Roseo_litor_Och149". It matches the Rfam family "Alphaproteobacteria transfer-messenger RNA", at positions 148 to 355 of the family's 355-position model. Rfam says of the family: Bacterial tmRNA, also known as 10Sa RNA or SsrA, is named for its dual tRNA and mRNA-like properties. Its role is to liberate the mRNA from a stalled ribosome. Lineage: Bacteria; Pseudomonadati; Pseudomonadota; Alphaproteobacteria; Rhodobacterales; Roseobacteraceae. The record is from RNAcentral.